GACGGAAGGUGCAAGCGUUGCUCGGAAUCACUGGGCGUAAAGGGUGCGUAGGCGGCCGUGCAAGUCUGGCGUGAAAGCCCCGGGCUCAGCCCGGGAAGUGCGCUCGAAACUGCGCGGCUCGAGUGCCGGAGGGGAGAGUGGAAUUCCUGGUGUAGCGGUGAAAUGCGUAGAUAUCAGGAGGAAUACCAAUGGCGAAGGCAGCUCGCUGGGACGUGACUGACGCUGAGACGCGAAAGCGUGGGGAGCAAACAGG
Molecule: ribosomal RNA, 253 nt
Filed under: uncultured bacterium
Lineage: Bacteria
Description: partial 16S ribosomal RNA
Rfam family: Bacterial small subunit ribosomal RNA
Source: RNAcentral